GAUGAACGCUGGCGGCGUGCCUAAUACAUGCAAGUCGAGCGAACAGACGAGGAGCUUGCUCCUCUGACGUUAGCGGCGGACGGGUGAGUAACACGUGGAUAACCUACCUAUAAGACUGGGAUAACUUCGGGAAACCGGAGCGAAUACCGGAUAAUAUAUUGAACCGCAUGGUUCAAUAGUGAAAGACGGUUUUGCUGUCACUUAUAGAUGGAUCCGCGCCGCAUUAGCUAUUUGGUAAGGUAACGGCUUACCAAGGCAACGAUGCGUAGCCGACCUGAGAGGGUGAUCGGCCACACUGGAACUGAGACACGGUCCAGCCUCCUAGGGGAGGAAGCAGUGGGGAAUCUUCCGCAAUGGGCGAAAGCCUGACGGAGAAACGCCGCGUGAGUGAUGAAGGUCUUCGGAUCGUAAAACUCUGUUAUUAGGGAAGAACAAAUGUGUAAGUAACUAUGCACGGCUUGACGGUACCUAAUCAGAAAGCCACGGCUAACUACGUG
Molecule: ribosomal RNA, 497 nt
Filed under: uncultured bacterium
Lineage: Bacteria
Description: partial 16S ribosomal RNA
Rfam family: Bacterial small subunit ribosomal RNA
Source: RNAcentral